GUCCUGGCGAGUGUGCAUGUGUGUGAGUGUGCACAUGUGUUUGUGUGACAGUGUGCAUGACACAGAGAAGGGGCUGUGAACGAAAAUCUGUGACGAGUGCGUCUCGUAAGGGAAUUUCGUGGCCACGGAGCAUCUGUUUUCCCUGGCAACCCAAGAUGCCCCGGGCAGCCGUGCCCCGUGGACACACCUGGAUCUGCUCUCCCAGCCACUGGAAUGCAAUAAAUCCAGGCUCUGUUCUGAUGACGAGGAGUCCAAGUACAAACUGUAGCCCGAGGCCCCGGGACACGGCCCUCCAAGGGCUGCACUCAAUCCACUGAGCUACACCAGCCAGGGCCAACAGCCUGAACUUUUUAAGCAUCAAAGCCCAGCCUUUCUGUCUCAGAGCUCACUGGGUCCCGCGGAGGACCGAGCACGCUGGUGUGCGACCAGCUCCCAUUCUGAAAUAGUAAUCAGGGACCAUUUCCGUCCUGCAGUCCCCUUCCCUGCUUUGUCCUUCUCCCCUCCAAGGAGCUAAGCCAGCCUGUGCCUCGAAAAAGCAGUAAGACCGUGGAUCACAGAGGGGGAAACGGCUCUGCCUGGCUUAUGAACUCCCGAAGCCGGGGCUCUGGGAGAAUGGAAAGGUCUUACCUCCUUUCCAUCGGAUGAAAAAUGUGGGAGGAAACAUCCUAAGUGUAAACCCUACCCCCACCCCCCCGCGGCCAGACGAGUUGGAGGACACUGGGUGGAGGGUCCCCACUUGGCUUUCUCCCACCUCUAAUCUCAAAUACACCA
Artibeus jamaicensis (Jamaican fruit-eating bat) is the source of this 771-nucleotide long non-coding RNA. RefSeq lists it as uncharacterized. The transcript is spliced from 3 exons. Lineage: Eukaryota; Metazoa; Chordata; Mammalia; Chiroptera; Phyllostomidae. The record is from RefSeq and is a predicted model, not a curated record.